Molecule: transfer RNA, 71 nt
Filed under: Stegodyphus mimosarum
Lineage: Eukaryota; Metazoa; Arthropoda; Arachnida; Araneae; Eresidae
Rfam family: tRNA
About the family: Transfer RNA (tRNA) molecules are approximately 80 nucleotides in length. Their secondary structure includes four short double-helical elements and three loops (D, anti-codon, and T loops).
Source: Rfam by way of RNAcentral
ACCUUUGUGGUGUAACGGUAGCACAGUCGGUAUGUAUUCGAGGGGUCCAUGUUCGAAUCCUGGCGAGGGCA